This is a non-coding RNA of Dicentrarchus labrax (European seabass), 68 nucleotides long. The record is from the annotation of a RefSeq genome assembly. NCBI's taxonomy places the organism in Eukaryota, Metazoa, Chordata, Actinopteri, Moronidae.
GGCUUCGAGGUGUUUUCACAUACUGGACUGCAAAUCCAGAGUAGCAGACUGACCCUCUGCCGGGGCUU